GCGUUGUUGUUGUUGUUCUUGGCGUAGCUGCUGCCGUUGCCCAUGAAGCUGCUGCUGCUGGUGUUGUACACGGUCUUGUUGUCGGUGUUGGGGAGGUUGUUGUUGUUGUAGCGGUCGGCCUUGUUGGUGCCGCCGCCUCCGGCGCCGCCGCCGAAGGCCAGCUUCCCGGAGCCGAUGAGGCCGGGCCCUCCGUCGUUGAGCUUGAGCCCGACGACGGCGUUGCUCUUGGCGGCGGCGUCGGCGGGCGACGCGGAGGCGGCGAAGAGGACGUCGUUGCUGUUGUUGCGCCGGCCGGCGGGGGACCAGAUGGAGUCGCCGAGGGAGAGGCCCGAGAAGGCGGCCGUCUGCAGGCGCAGCUGGUCGCUGAACUGGUAGAACUCGCGGUCGUAGCCUUCCAUGGCCGUGUUUUGCUUUUUGCCGGGGCGGGGGCGGAGGCGGGGGGAGGGAGACGCGAAGCAGUGCAGACGCAGACGCAGACGCAGAGCAGUGGAAAAGGAGGAGCAGAGCUUGAGGUGCCGUGCGCCGCGUGGGCCGAGUGCCGAGGGGGAGGUUUUAUCACCGCUUCCUUCAAUUCAGUUGGUGGUGCGUCUCGUUCCCGUCCCGCCAGUGGUGAUUGUGACUAGCGCCGACUCGACUGGGCCGGGUGCGUUCGGCGUCAGUUGGCAUGGCACGGAGGCCGUAGACGUGGCCCCCGGUGCCGGGAGCGGGAGGGAAGCUUCGGGGAAGGUCGCGCAACCGCGUCGCGGCCGUGGCAACGAGACGUGGAUGUCCCGGCACGCGGGGCACCCCCUGCCCAG
RNAcentral lists this unclassified non-coding RNA (797 nucleotides) under Zea mays. RNAcentral's name for it is "misc RNA Zm00001eb441460". Lineage: Eukaryota; Viridiplantae; Streptophyta; Magnoliopsida; Poales; Poaceae. The record is from RNAcentral.